UGGGGGAUAUUGCGCAAUGGGGGAAACCCUGACGCAGCAACGCCGCGUGAAGGAUGAAGGUUUUCGGAUCGUAAACUUCUUUAAGUGGGGAAGAAUUUUGACGGUACCCACAGAAUAAGCCACGGCUAACUACGUGCCAGCAGCCGCGGUAAUACGUAGGUGGCAAGCGUUGUCCGGAUUUACUGGGUGUAAAGGGCGUGUAGGCGGGAAGGUAAGUCAGAUGUGAAAUUUCGGGGCUCAACCCCGAACCUGCAUUUGAAACUAUCUUUCUUGAGUGUCGGAGAGGAAAGUGGAAUUCCUAGUGUAGCGGUGAAAUGCGUAGAUAUUAGGAGGAACACCAGUGGCGAAGGCGACUUUCUGGACGAUAACUGACGCUGAGGCGCGAAAGCGUGGGGAGCAAACA
This is a ribosomal RNA of 403 nucleotides. It matches the Rfam family "Bacterial small subunit ribosomal RNA", at positions 355 to 774 of the family's 1533-position model.